Zea mays is the source of this 119-nucleotide RNA transcript. It is a transcript of the gene named protein argonaute pseudogene, with no coding region annotated. The transcript is spliced from 2 exons. The record is from RefSeq and is marked validated. Lineage: Eukaryota; Viridiplantae; Streptophyta; Magnoliopsida; Poales; Poaceae.
UCACACACCCCCACCAGGAGAGGACUCUGCAUCAUCCAUUGCUGCUGUGGUGGCAUCAAUGGACUGGCCUGAAAUCACCAAGUACAGAGGUCUGGUUUCUGCUCAACCACACCAAGAGA